UACGUAGGUGGCAAGCGUUGUCCGGAUUUACUGGGCGUAAAGAGCGCGCAGGCGGUUAUUCAAGUCGAAUGUGAAAGCCCCCGGCUUAACUGGGGAGGGUCAUUCGAUACUGUUUAACUUGAAGGCAGGAGAGGGUAGUGGAAUUCCCGGUGUAGUGGUGAAAUGCGUAGAUAUCCGGAGGAACACCAGAGGCGAAGGCGGCCUACUGGGCCAGCACUGACGCUGAGCCGCGAAAGCCAGGGGAGCGAACGGG
This 253-nucleotide ribosomal RNA is filed under the name uncultured bacterium. Its description in RNAcentral is "partial 16S ribosomal RNA". It matches the Rfam family "Bacterial small subunit ribosomal RNA", at positions 524 to 776 of the family's 1533-position model. The record is from RNAcentral.